Oncorhynchus tshawytscha (Chinook salmon) is the source of this 3943-nucleotide long non-coding RNA. Lineage: Eukaryota; Metazoa; Chordata; Actinopteri; Salmoniformes; Salmonidae. The record is from Ensembl.
CAUCAGUUCAACGUCUACUGCCCUACUAACAAAUACCCACAUGGCACAGACAUCAGUUCAACGUCUACUGCCCUACUAACAAGUACCCACAUGGCACAGACAUCAGUUCAACGUCUACUGCCCUACUAACAAGUACCCACAUGGCACAGACAUCAGUUCAACGUCUACUACCCUACUAACAAGUACCCACAUGGCACAGACAUCAGUUCAACGUCUACUGCCCUACUAACAAGUACCCACAUGGCACAGACAUCAGUUCAACGUCUUGUUUUGAUUUACAGUUGGUUGAGUUGUCAAUUCAGUGUGAAAUCAACAACAAAAAAAUUCAUUGGAUUUAGGUUAAACGUUGGGUGAAAAAAAGACGAAAUGCUGAUUACUUUUUGCAAGUCCAAUUAUUGUUCCAUGUUGAUUCAACGUCAUGACAUAGAUUUUUGGGGUUGAAAUUAUGUGGAAACAAUGUUGAUUCAACCAGUCUUUGCCUAGAGGGUAGACUAUCAUCAUUUUAGUCUAUAUUCACUUGAAACUAUCACUGUGUUAUUUUAUUUAAGAGGUUUAUUGGUCAUUUGUAAACCUAAAACACAGGACAAGAAUACUUUUGUCUAUGUAAUAGAAAAUAAUAAAGUUGUACUUUUUUACAGCCACCUACAUGGGGUCUGCCAUACAUUUCCUACGAUUACACAAAUGCACCUACAGUAUGAUAGCUUUGUAUUGCAAAUACCCUUUAGCUAAUGAACAGUACUGAAAAAUGUAGUAUUUUAACACAUUUAGCUCCAAGGAUGAAAGUAAAGGCCACAAAUGUAUUUGAAAUGCCCAUUUAUGACAUGGUAACUUAAUUUACAAUGACGAUAUGGAGGUAAUGGGCAUUAUGUUUACAUGAAUAAAUGCCAUCAGUGGUGAUAGCUUCAUGUUGCACCAUUUGAAUAAAAAAUCUGCUUUGUAUAUGCGAGCGUUCUUGUUUGGGAUUCAUUCAAAUAAUGAACAAAUGUAUAAUGUGCUUAAUAUUGAAUUGGGUUGCGUUAGGCUGUGGAUAUUUAGUUGUUGUAUUUGUUGUGGUAUUUCAAUGUUGUUAACAUGUGAAGCUGCAAAAAAUGCUGGAAAAAAAUGUGUAAACAUCACAAUAUACACUGAGUGUACAGAACAUUAGGACCACCUUCCUAAUAAUGAGCCCCCAGAACAGCCUCAAUUCAUCAGGCCAGGGACUCUACAAGGUGUGGAAAGCGUUCCACAUGGAUGCUGGCCCAUGUUGACUCCAAUGCUUCCCACAGUUGUGUCAAAUUUUCUGGAUGUCCUUUAGUUGGUGGACCAUUCUUGAUACAUACAGGAAACGGUUGAGUGUGAAAAACUGUUGUGUUGCAGUUCUUGACACAAACCAGUGUGUCUGGCACCUACUACCAUACCCUAUUCAAAUGAACAUCAAUCUGUUGUCUUGCCCAUUCACCCUCUGAAUGGCACACAUUCACAAUCCAUGUCUCAAUUGUCUCAAGGCUUAAAAAUCCUUGUUUCACCUGGAUUCACCUGGCCAGUCUAUGUCAUGUUUAGUACACUCAGUAUAUUUUAUUAUAAACAAUCUGUAAAGAAUGUGUAUCUUUCUAUUUGACAGAAGAGCAUGACAGCAGAAUUGACAGAAGAUCAUGACAUAGCAGAAUUGACAGAAGAGCAUGCCAUAACAGAAUAGACAGAAGAGCAUGACAUAGCGGAAUUGACAGAAGAGCAUGACAUAGCAGAAUUGACAGAAGAUCAUGACAUAGCAGAAUUGACCGAAAAUCAUGAUAGCAGAAUUGACAGAAGAGCAUGCCAUAGCAGAAUAGACAGAAGAGUAUGACAUAGCGGAAUUGACAGAAGAGCAUGACAUAGCAGAAUUGACAGAAGAGCAUGCCAUAGCAGAAUAGACAGAAGAAAUAGACAGAAGAGCAUGACAUAGCGGAAUUGACAGAAGAGCAUGACAUAGCAGAAUUGACAGAAGAUCAUGACAUAGCAGAAUUGACCGAAAAUCAUGAUAGCAGAAUUGACAGAAGAGCAUGCCAUAGCAGAAUAGACAGAAGAGUAUGACAUAGCGGAAUUGACAGAAGAGCAUGACAUAGCAGAAUUGACAGAAGAGCAUGCCAUAGCAGAAUAGACAGAAGAGUAUGACAUAGCGGAAUUGACAGAAGAGCAUGACAUAGCAGAAUUGACAGAAGAUCAUGACAUAGCAGAAUUGACCGAAGAUCAUGACAUAGCAGAAUUGACCGAAAAUCAUGAUAGCAGAAUUGACAGAAGAGCAUGCCAUAGCAGAAUAGACAGAAGAUCAUGCCAUAGCAGAAUAGACAGAAGAUCAUGACAUAGCAGAAUUGACAGAAGAUCAUGACAUAGCAGAAUUGACCUAAAAUCAUGAUAGCAGAAUUGACAGAAGAGCAUGCCAUAGCAGAAUAGACAGAAGAGCAUGACAUAGCAGAAUUGACAGAAGAGCAUGACAUAGCGGAAUUGACAGAAGAUCAUGACAUAGCAGAAUUGACCGAAGAUCAUGACAUAGCAGAAUUGAAAGAAGAUCAUGACAUAGCAGAAUUGACCGAAGAUCAUGACAUAGCAGAAUUGACCGAAGAUCAUGACAUAGCAGAAUUGACCGAAAAUCAUGACAUAGCAGAAUUGACAGAAGAUCAUGACAUAGCAGAAUUGACCGAAGAUCAUGACAUAGCAGAAUUGACCGAAGAUCAUGACAUAGCAGAAUUGACCGAAGAUCAUGACAUAGCAGAAUUGACCGAAGAUCAUGACAUAGCAGAAUUGACAGAUCAUGAGUCCCUUUUCUUUUUGCAACAACACAUUUAACAUUCCACUUAAAUCUCUUCUAUACUGCAUAUCAAAACAACAAUGGAUUACAUAGUAUUACAUAACAAAUAUGGAUCAUUCCUAUACAUUUUAAAUUACUUCUCUCACUACUGCUUAUCUCAACAAUGCAGAAUUAGCACCAUACAGUCAUACAAGUCUUAUUUUGAAAUAGACCCAAUAUAUCAUGUUUGAGAAUUGUUAUUAUAACUUAUGUCCUUAAAACAGAGGCGGAGUCCCUAAUGGAGCCCUUUGCCCUAGGGCCCUGGCCAAAGGUAGUGCACAAUCUAGGGAAUAGGUUGCCAUUUGGGCGCAUCCAGCGAGGCCAAACACAGAUAACAAGCUAAUACCCCCCACCCAAUGCAAUACAGAUCACCAUGCCUAUAUUAAGCAUAGAAGCCCAACCAGUUCAUAUUGUGGUGUCUUCUGUACUUUGGCUACAGGUGUACAAUAGUAGUGAUCCUAGUAAAAGGACUUGCUCAAUGACUCUCCAAUGAAGCCCCAAAUUAUUUAGGCUUUAGUGUUUUUUUCUUGUACAUACGGUCUUAUUUGUGCAGUUUACUUGUUUAGUAUUUUUCUAAUAUUUGUAGUGUUCUUCUUUUGAAAUUAUGUUUCAUGUACAGUACAAUGAUGAUGUGUUUUUCAUGUGAAGAAGUUACUGAUUUUGAGGAAGUUAUGCUAUUUAACUAACUAAAGGUCUUGCUAUAUAACAUCAUGUCUAGUCUAGGUCCAUUAUGUAGCCUGGUCUUAUGUUUGUUCAGCACCAUAUUUCAAAUAAAAUGCAUUUUAUAUAUUGUGAUUCAAAGCUGUUCUGAAGCAGGUUGUUGAUGCCAGAAUCCACAUUUUUACAAUGCCCUUUUUUGCUAAUAUUGUAGUUUUGCCAAGAAACCGGAUUUGAGGAAAUACAGAGUAUCAAAUAGGAACAUAGUUUGCUACUUAUUUUUAUUUCAAUUGUAUUUAUCCAUUUUGGCUUUCUCUAAACAGGUUUUGCUGCUAUACAGUAAUGCUCUCAAAACGUAUUUUAAAAACAUAUUAUGACCCACCAUAAGGUUAUCUAAGUGUAUGUAGCAGCUUAACGUUUCUGAUAUUGUAUUCACAACUGCUUGUCAUUUUAUUUUAGUCAAAUAAAUGUUUCGUGUGUUAA